AGAGUUUGAUUCCUGGCUCAGGACGAACGCUGGCGGCGUGCCUAAUACAUGCAAGUCGAGCGGACAGAAGGGAGCUUGCUCCCGGAUGUUAGCGGCGGACGGGUGAGUAACACGUGGGUAACCUGCCUGUAAGACUGGGAUAACUCCGGGAAACCGGAGCUAAUACCGGAUAGUUCCUUGAACCGCAUGGUUCAAGGAUGAAAGACGGUUUCGGCUGUCACUUACAGAUGGACCCGCGGCGCAUUAGCUAGUUGGUGAGGUAACGGCUCACCAAGGCGACGAUGCGUAGCCGACCUGAGAGGGUGAUCGGCCACACUGGGACUGAGACACGGCCCAGACUCCUACGGGAGGCAGCAGUAGGGAAUCUUCCGCAAUGGACGAAAGUCUGACGGAGCAACGCCGCGUGAGUGAUGAAGGUUUUCGGAUCGUAAAGCUCUGUUGUUAGGGAAGAACAAGUGCAAGAGUAACUGCUUGCACCUUGACGGUACCUAACCAGAAAGCCACGGCUAAUUACGUGCCAGCAGCCGCGGUAAUACGUAGGUGGCAAGCGUUGUCCGGAAUUAUUGGGCGUAAAGGGCUCGCAGGCGGUUUCUUAAGUCUGAUGUGAAAGCCCCCGGCUCAACCGGGGAGGGUCAUUGGAAACUGGGAAACUUGAGUGCAGAAGAGGAGAGUGGAAUUCCACGUGUAGCGGUGAAAUGCGUAGAGAUGUGGGAGGAACACCAGUGGCGAAGGCGACUCUCUGGUCUGUAACUGACGCUGAGGAGCGAAAGCGUGGGGAGCGAACAGGAUUAGAUACCCUGGUAGUCCACGCCGUAAACGAUGAGUGCUAAGUGUUAGGGGGUUUCCGCCCCUUAGUGCUGCAGCUAACGCAUUAAGCACUCCGCCUGGGGAGUACGGUCGCAAGACUGAAACUCAAAGGAAUUGACGGGGGCCCGCACAAGCGGUGGAGCAUGUGGUUUAAUUCGAAGCAACGCGAAGAACCUUACCAGGUCUUGACAUCCUCUGACAACCCUAGAGAUAGGGCUUUCCCUUCGGGGACAGAGUGACAGGUGGUGCAUGGUUGUCGUCAGCUCGUGUCGUGAGAUGUUGGGUUAAGUCACGCAACGAGCGCAACCCUUGA
Molecule: ribosomal RNA, 1120 nt
Filed under: Bacillus pumilus
Lineage: Bacteria; Bacillati; Bacillota; Bacilli; Caryophanales; Bacillaceae
Description: bacterial SSU rRNA
Rfam family: Bacterial small subunit ribosomal RNA
Source: RNAcentral